UACAGAGGUCCCGAGCGUUGUUCGGAUUCACUGGGCGUAAAGGGUGCGUAGGUGGUGAGGUAAGUCGGAUGUGAAAUCUCCAAGCUCAACUUGGAAAUGGCAUUGGAAACUACCUUGCUGGAGGUUUGGAGGGGGGACUGGAAUUCUCGGUGUAGCAGUGAAAUGCGUAGAUAUCGAGAGGAACACCAGUGGCGAAGGCGAGUCCCUGGACCAAUACUGACGAUCAGGUGCGAAAGCGUGGGGAGCAAACAGG
This 253-nucleotide ribosomal RNA is filed under the name uncultured bacterium. Its description in RNAcentral is "partial 16S ribosomal RNA". It matches the Rfam family "Bacterial small subunit ribosomal RNA", at positions 524 to 776 of the family's 1533-position model. The record is from RNAcentral.